AACAAAGCUAAGUGUGCAUUAGGCGGUUUUUGGUCAGAUGUACAACGAAAACCAAACAAAAACUAAGCAUGUAGAAGGCAGUGAUAUUGCUUGUUUGGACGGGAGUUCGAUUCUCCCCGGCUCCACGA
This 128-nucleotide transfer-messenger RNA is filed under the name Flavobacteriaceae bacterium. RNAcentral describes it as "partial transfer-messenger RNA". It matches the Rfam family "transfer-messenger RNA", at positions 236 to 374 of the family's 374-position model. From Rfam's summary of the family: Bacterial tmRNA, also known as 10Sa RNA or SsrA, is named for its dual tRNA and mRNA-like properties. Its role is to liberate the mRNA from a stalled ribosome. The record is from RNAcentral. Lineage: Bacteria; Pseudomonadati; Bacteroidota; Flavobacteriia; Flavobacteriales; Flavobacteriaceae.